AAAGUGGUGUAGUGGAAGCACCAAGAGUUUUGAUCUCUUGAGGAUGGGUUCGAGCCCCUUCUCUCUAGAAUUGAGGGG
Molecule: transfer RNA, 78 nt
Filed under: Coregonus albula (vendace)
Lineage: Eukaryota; Metazoa; Chordata; Actinopteri; Salmoniformes; Salmonidae
Description: partial tRNA-Gln
Rfam family: tRNA (bases 1-68)
About the family: Transfer RNA (tRNA) molecules are approximately 80 nucleotides in length. Their secondary structure includes four short double-helical elements and three loops (D, anti-codon, and T loops).
Source: RNAcentral